RNAcentral lists this ribosomal RNA (428 nucleotides) under uncultured Staphylococcus sp. RNAcentral describes it as "bacterial SSU rRNA". It matches the Rfam family "Bacterial small subunit ribosomal RNA", at positions 958 to 1393 of the family's 1533-position model. The record is from RNAcentral. Lineage: Bacteria; Bacillati; Bacillota; Bacilli; Caryophanales; Staphylococcaceae.
UACGCGAAGAACCUUCCCAAUCUUGACCUCUUCUACCCCUCUAGAGAUAGAGUUUUCCCUUCGGGGACAGAGUGACAGGUGGUGCAUGGUUGUCGUCAGCUCGUGUCGUGAGAUGUUGAGUUAAGUCCCGCAACGAGCGCAACCCUUAAGCUUAGUUGCCAUCAUUAAGUUGGGCACUCUAAGUUGACUGCCGGUGACAAACCGGAGGAAGGUGGGGAUGACGUCAAAUCAUCAUGCCCCUUAUGAUUUGGGCUACACACGUGCUACAAUGGACAAUACAAAGGGUGGCGAAACCGCGAGGUCAAGCAAAUCCCAUAGAGUUGUCUCAGUUCGGAUUGUAGUCUGCAACUCGACUACAUGAAGCUGAAUCGCUAGUAAUCGUGGAUCAGCAUGCACGGUGAAUACGUUCUCGGGUCUAGUACACACGC